AGAAAAAGAUAGAUUUAUUUAUAUAUUUAUAUAUUUUCUUACACUCCUCCUCGUAUAUGGGUCAGACUUUUCUUUAAUAGGGGCCAACAUGUAAAACUUUUAAUAAUGGAGUUAAGUUUAAAAGUGUGAAGAUAUGAUUCGAACUCAAGACCUCUGCUCUGAUACCAUGUUGAAAUCACCACUUAUCCUAAAAACUUAAAUAUAUAAAAUGAGAUAGAUUUAUUUAUAUAUUUUAUAUUUUUUUACCGUCC
RNAcentral lists this long non-coding RNA (251 nucleotides) under Phoenix dactylifera (date palm). RNAcentral describes it as "long non-coding RNA (PDAC_LNC001452)". The record is from RNAcentral. Lineage: Eukaryota; Viridiplantae; Streptophyta; Magnoliopsida; Arecales; Arecaceae.